AUUGAACGCUGGCGGCAGGCUUAACACAUGCAAGUCGAGCGGGGUGAUGGUGCUUGCACUAUCACUUAGCGGCGGACGGGUGAGUAAUGCUUAGGAAUCUGCCUAUUAGUGGGGGACAACAUCUCGAAAGGGAUGCUCAUACCGCAUACGUCCUACGUGAGAAAGCAGGGGAUCACUUGUGACCUUGCGCUAAUAGACGAGCCUAAGUCGGAUUAGCUAGUUGGUGGGGUAAAGGCCUACCAAGGCGACGAUCUGUAGCGGGUCUGAGAGGAUGAUCCGCCACACUGGGACUGAGACACGGCCCAGACUCCUACGGGAGGCAGCAGUGGGGAAUAUUGGACAAAGGGGGAACCCUGAUCCAGCCAUGCCGCGUGUGUGAAGAAGGCCUUAUGGUUGUAAAGCACUUUAAGCGAGGAGGAGGCUCUUUUGGUUAAUACCCAAGAUGAGUGGACGUUACUCGCAGAAUAAGCACCGGCUAACUCUGUGCCAGCAGCCGCGGUAA
RNAcentral lists this ribosomal RNA (502 nucleotides) under uncultured bacterium. Its description in RNAcentral is "partial 16S ribosomal RNA". It matches the Rfam family "Bacterial small subunit ribosomal RNA", at positions 30 to 523 of the family's 1533-position model. The record is from RNAcentral.